This 511-nucleotide ribosomal RNA is filed under the name uncultured bacterium. RNAcentral's name for it is "bacterial SSU rRNA". It matches the Rfam family "Bacterial small subunit ribosomal RNA", at positions 9 to 526 of the family's 1533-position model. The record is from RNAcentral.
GGCGAGUUUGAUCCUGGCUCAGGACGAACGCUGGCGGCGUGCCUAACACAUGCAAGUCGAACGAGGUCCAUGCGGUGGCAACACCGCGGAAGACCUAGUGGCGAACGGGUGAGUAACACGUGAGGAACCUGCCCCGGAGACCGGGAUAACCCUCCGAAAGGAGGGCUAAUACCGGAUACCUCCACUGAGUCGCAUGGCUCGGUGAAGAAAUGGAUUCCGCUCCGGGAGGGCCUCGCGGCCUAUCAGCUUGUUGGUGGGGUAACGGCCCACCAAGGCGUCGACGGGUAGCUGGUCUGAGAGGACGAUCAGCCACACUGGGACUGAGACACGGCCCAGACUCCUACGGGAGGCAGCAGUGGGGAAUCUUGCGCAAUGGGCGAAAGCCUGACGCAGCAACGCCGCGUGCGGGAUGAAGGCCCUCGGGUUGUAAACCGCUUUCAGUGGGGACGAACCAAGACGGUACCCACAGAGGAAGCCCCGGCCAACUACGUGCCAGCAGCCGCGGUAAUAA